Molecule: transfer RNA, 85 nt
Filed under: Betaproteobacteria bacterium
Lineage: Bacteria; Pseudomonadati; Pseudomonadota; Betaproteobacteria
Description: tRNA-Leu
Rfam family: tRNA
About the family: Transfer RNA (tRNA) molecules are approximately 80 nucleotides in length. Their secondary structure includes four short double-helical elements and three loops (D, anti-codon, and T loops). Further hydrogen bonds mediate the characteristic L-shaped molecular structure. tRNAs have two regions of fundamental functional importance: the anti-codon, which is responsible for specific mRNA codon recognition, and the 3' end, to which the tRNAs corresponding amino acid is attached (by aminoacyl-tRNA synthetases). tRNAs cope with the degeneracy of the genetic code in two manners: having more than one tRNA (with a specific anti-codon) for a particular amino acid; and 'wobble' base-pairing, i.e. permitting non-standard base-pairing at the 3rd anti-codon position.
Source: RNAcentral
GCCGACGUGGUGGAAUUGGUAGACACGCUGUCUUGAGGGGGCAGUGCAGAAAUGCGUGCGAGUUCGAGUCUCGCCGUCGGCACCA